This 24-nucleotide microRNA is filed under the name Parasteatoda tepidariorum (common house spider). RNAcentral describes it as "pte-miR-2d-5p". Its record names the gene pte-miR-2d-5p. Lineage: Eukaryota; Metazoa; Arthropoda; Arachnida; Araneae; Theridiidae. The record is from miRBase by way of RNAcentral.
GGGUCAAACUGAUGCUGUGAUGUG